GUGGGUAGUUUGACUGGGGCGGUCUCCUCCUAAAGAGUAACGGAGGAGCACGAAGGUUGGCUAAUCCUGGUCGGACAUCAGGAGGUUAGUGCAAUGGCAUAAGCCAGCUUGACUGCGAGCGUGACGGCGCGAGCAGGUGCGAAAGCAGGUCAUAGUGAUCCGGUGGUUCUGAAUGGAAGGGCCAUCGCUCAACGGAUAAAAGGUACUCCGGGGAUAACAGGCUGAUACCGCCCAAGAGUUCAUAUCGACGGCGGUGUUUGGCACCUCGAUGUCGGCUCAUCACAUCCUGGGGCUGAAGUAGGUCCCAAGGGUAUGGCUGUUCGCCAUUUAAAGUGGUACGCGAGCUGGGUUUAGAACGUCGUGAGACAGUUCGGUCCCUAUCUGCCGUGGGCGCUGGAGAACUGAGGGGGGCUGCUCCUAGUACGAGAGGACCGGAGUGGACGCAUCACUGGUGUUCGGGUUGUCAUGCCAAUGGCACUGCCCGGUAGCUAAAUGCGGAAGAGAUAAGUGCUGAAAGCAUCUAAGCACGAAACUUGCCCCGAGAUGAGUUCUCCCUGAGACUUUAGGUCUCCUGAAGGAACGUU
Molecule: ribosomal RNA, 584 nt
Filed under: Salmonella enterica subsp. enterica serovar Indiana
Lineage: Bacteria; Pseudomonadati; Pseudomonadota; Gammaproteobacteria; Enterobacterales; Enterobacteriaceae
Description: partial 23S ribosomal RNA
Rfam family: Bacterial large subunit ribosomal RNA
Source: RNAcentral